UACGUAGGCAGCGAGCGUUGUUCGGAGUUACUGGGCGUAAAGGGUGCGUAGGCGGUUGUUUAAGUCAGGGGUGAAAUCCUGGAGCUCAACUCUAGAACUGCCUUUGAUACUGAGGACCUUGAGUUCGGGAGAGGUGAGUGGAACUGCGAGUGUAGAGGUGAAAUUCGUAGAUAUUCGCAAGAACACCAGUGGCGAAGGCGGCUCACUGGCCCGAUACUGACGCUGAGGUGCGAAAGCGUGGGGAGCAAACAGG
Molecule: ribosomal RNA, 253 nt
Filed under: uncultured bacterium
Lineage: Bacteria
Description: partial 16S ribosomal RNA
Rfam family: Bacterial small subunit ribosomal RNA
Source: RNAcentral